UCCCGCCUCCUUCCCUCGUACUCUCCUCCAAAAGUACACCCUGCUCUGUAUAUACCCUCUUUGUCUCUGUAUACCCUUAAGAAGAAGGAGAAGAAGAAGCUCAACAACUUCAUCAAUGGCUUCUAAUCAACAACUUCAUCAAUGGCCUCUCUCCUUUUGGUAAAGCCCCUCAAAACCCAAUUUCUCUUUUACCUCCCUUUAAUCAAUUUUUCAUCUCAACCCAACAUUUCUUCUGAUUUUGUAUCUGAAAUCUGCUCGGAUACAGAACAUUUUAUCGAUAAAUUGGUUAGGACGGUAUGAGGCUUUGAUUUUUAUUCAUGAUACCACAACCGAACUGUUUUCGUCAAGGAUGUUUGAAAAUUAAUUGUUUUAAUUAUUUUAUUUUUUUUGCUUUGAUUAUGUGAUGCUGCUUUUGUGGAUGAUGAGAUCAAAUAUUUCACAGUUAUCCAUGUCUGAGUCAUUUUUGCUGACUAUUUGUGAUCUGACACAANNNNNNNNNNNNNNNNNNNNNNNNNNNNNNNNNNNNNNNNNNNNNNNNNNNNNNNNNNNNNNNNNNNNNNNNNNNNNNNNNNNNNNNNNNNNNNNNNNNNUGGAUGUUUAAUCUUUUUUGAUAUUUGGAGUGAUGUUCACAUAAAUUUGCAAUACCAAAUAUUGAUAUCUUCCAGCUAUUUUAAAUAAACAAUUGGUUGUGAACUCUGAUCUGCUGGGAAAAAAAAUUAUCGUCAAAACUGCCAAUCAACUUUUGUACAUAUGUUAUCUCGACUUUUGAAGUUUUAUUUCUACAAAAAAAGUAAAAAUUUCACAAGAUUUUCAAUCCAAUAACUAAUAGUAGAAGGGUAGAGGUGAAGAUUUUCAACCCAAGACAGGGCAAUAAGCUGCCCAAACAUAUUUAGAUCCAAAAAGACACCAUAUUAACUACAACAAACAUGCAUGCUCUGAUGCAGAUUCACUUUACACAAUAUAAACAACAAAAUGGUUCCAUCUUCUAGAAGAAGGUGGAGCAACAAACAAAAGUGUGUUGACCAACAUCGUCAAAAAUAGGGUCAUACUUUUAGAAGAAUGUGAAAAACAAGCAGAAGUAUGACAAAAUUAACGUUUAUGUAUCCAAGUACAAGAAGACCAUAUUAACCAUGUAAUAUGGUCAAAAACAAGGUCAUAUUUUCAGAAGAAGGUGAAAAACAGACAGAAGUAUGGCAAAUUAACAUCUAUUGGUAUCCAAGUAUGUCAGAUGAUAGCUGUUUUACCCUGAAGAACAAUUAGUUUGAAAAGGAAAAAAAAAGUGAUUUAGUUUCGAAAUUGGUGUUUAUGUUGGUGUCCUUUCGUAUUACCUGAAGAACAGCUCUCGGCCACGAAAAAUAAGUGAAAACAGGAGAAAGAUUACAUUAGUAAUCUUUUAGUAAUCUUAGACCCAGGAGAAGAGAAAAGUAUAUUACUGCUCCUUUAGUAAUCUUAGACCCAGGACUCAUUGUAUAACAUGACUACAUUAGUAAUCUUGAAAUUAGGAUUUUUUGUAAUCUUGAUUACACCGUACCUUUAAUAAUGUUGAUUACACCGUACCUUUAGUCUGCUCCUUUAGUAAUCUUGAUUAACAAAAAAUCCCAGCACGACGUAACAAUUUUCCCUCGAAUUGGGAUGUUUCAAAUCUGCAUCAAGAUCUUCGAACCCGAAAAAAAACAAAACAAAUUGGCAGCACCUAACUGAAAGGUACCUGAUUCAAUUCGAGUUGUCUCAAAUUUACCGUCCCAUUGACAAUAACCUUAAAUUUUAAGGUCACAUUGAGCCCAAUAGUAACACUGAGUCCUUGAACAAUUUUUCAUCGCCCGAAAUGGUAAAGUCCCUCAAAACCCAAUUUCUCUUUUACCUCCAUUUAAUCAAUUUUUCAUCUCAACCCAACAUUUCUUCUGAUUUUGUAUCUGAAAUCUUCUCGGAAACCGAACAUUUUAUGCUAAUCAUUUGGUGUUCGAAGUUGGUGUUCCUGUUGAAAACUUGUUCUAACAUUAUAUUAUGCUAAUCAUUUUAUGCUAACGAAUUCUUUUUACUUUUUUACAUGAAUCUCUUAUUUGGUAUACCCAUUACUCUUGGUUCAUCACGAUAUUGAUCUACAAUAUUUCAGGCAAUAACAAGUACUCAUUGGACCAAAGUUUGAGCCAGAUUUAACAUAUAGCUGCUAAGGUUAGAAUUUCUGUUCCAAUUUCCCUUUUUCUUCUUUUCCUGGCCCGAAGUUAAAUAAUCAUAAGAAAUAAUUCAUUGAUUGAUGUGAUGCAUAGGGAUUACAUGCUUGAAUUAAGUUCUGGUAUGUGACAUAGCGUAUCUAACACAUAGUCAUACUAAUGCUUGGGAGAUUUGGGAGGAGGGGGGAUAGAGAGAGAAUAAUAUUAUUCAAAGUGCCUUUAAAUCUAUAAAUCUCCUAGCUAAAGAGGACAGUCCAAUUUGGUUAGGCUUCCCAGUUUUUAUUUGGAAAAGAAUUUUGCUUAACAUAUAAUUUUGAGUGCAUCUCAUUCUUUCAGUUUGAAUAUGUAUUAAUUCAAGCAUGUAGUCCCUAUUUCAUGAACAAAAACUCAGUUAAACUGCACAAAGUAUAAAUGUAUACUACCACUUUAGUUACAGGACAUGCUAAUUCGGUAUAAUCUGAUUCUUAGUCAAUAAACAGUAGUCUACUCUCUGAAGUAAUUUGUGAUUUUCAAAGCAAAUUGUGCAGAAUCUUAUGAGUUUUGUCCUCGAAAGAAAUGCACAUGUUAUGUUCGAUAAAUUGCCUCUAAGAGGCUAUCAAGUAUAAAAAGGGAGAGUUGGUCAAGAUUGUUAAUAGAGAAGUCUUCAUAUAUGUUAGAUGAUGUACAUGGAGUAAUUUAUGUAAGCCCAAUGAGGGUUGGAACCUGUUUUGGAAGAAAUGAUAUGUUAAGGCACU
Molecule: long non-coding RNA, 2905 nt
Filed under: Panax ginseng (ginseng)
Lineage: Eukaryota; Viridiplantae; Streptophyta; Magnoliopsida; Apiales; Araliaceae
Description: long non-coding RNA (PGIN_LNC012385)
Rfam family: Small nucleolar RNA R38 (bases 411-492)
Source: RNAcentral